AUACGUAGGUGGCGAGCGUUGUCCGGAAUUAUUGGGCGUAAAGAGCAUGUAGGCGGCCUAUUAAGUCGAGCGUGAAAAUGCGGGGCUCAACCCCGUAUGGCGCUGGAAACUGGUAGGCUUGAGUGCAGGCGAGGAAAGGGGAAUUCCCAGUGUAGCGGUGAAAUGCGUAGAUAUUGGGAGGAACACCAGUGGCGAAGGCGCCUUUCUGGACUGUGUCUGACGCUGAGAUGCGAAAGCCAGGGUAGCGAACGGGAUUAGAUACCCCGGUAGUCCUGGCCGUAAACGAUGGGUACUAGGUGUAGGAGGUAUCGACCCCUUCUGUGCCGGAGUUAACGCAAUAAGUACCCCGCCUGGGGAGUACGGCCGCAAGGUUGAAACUCAAAUGAAUUGACGGGG
This 396-nucleotide ribosomal RNA is filed under the name uncultured bacterium. RNAcentral describes it as "partial 16S ribosomal RNA". It matches the Rfam family "Bacterial small subunit ribosomal RNA", at positions 523 to 918 of the family's 1533-position model. The record is from RNAcentral.